Molecule: ribosomal RNA, 402 nt
Filed under: uncultured bacterium
Lineage: Bacteria
Description: bacterial SSU rRNA
Rfam family: Bacterial small subunit ribosomal RNA
Source: RNAcentral
AACGAACGCUGGCGGCGUGGAUAAGACAUGCAAGUCGAACGAGACUACUUUUGGUAGCAAUACUAAGAGUAGUUUAGUGGCGAACGGGUGCGUAACACGUGGGCAAUCUGCCUUAAAGUGGGGGAUAGCUCGGCGAAAGCCGAAUUAAUACCGCAUAUGAUCAGCUAAGACAUCUCAGCGAAAUCAAAGCCGGGGCAACCUGGCGCUUUUUGAGGAGCCCGCGGCCUANCAGCUAGUUGGUGAGGUAACGGCUCACCAAGGCUUUGACGGGUAGCUGGUCUGAGAGGACGACCAGUCACACUGGAACUGAGACACGGUCCAGACACCUACGGGUGGCAGCAGUCGAGAAUUUUUCUCAAUGGGGCAACCCUGAAGGAGCGACGCCGCGUGGAGGAUGAAGGC